RNAcentral lists this ribosomal RNA (348 nucleotides) under uncultured bacterium. RNAcentral's name for it is "bacterial SSU rRNA". It matches the Rfam family "Bacterial small subunit ribosomal RNA", at positions 30 to 324 of the family's 1533-position model. The record is from RNAcentral.
AUUGAACGCUGGCGGCAUGCCUUACACAUGCAAGUCGAACGUGAAAGCGGGGCAACCCGCAAGUAGAGUGGCGGACGGGUGAGUAAUACAUCGGAACGUGUCCAGUAAUGGGGGAUAACCUAGCGAAAGUUAGGCUAAUACCGCAUACGAUCUGCGGAUGAAAGCGGGGGAUGCGGCACUAAAGGCUUUUGGCGAAGGUGGCCAAAGGUGAGUCAAGAGCUUUUAGUGCNGCACCUCGCGUUAUUGGAGCGGCUGAUGUCUGAUUAGCUAGUUGGUGAGGUAAAGGCUUACCAAGGCGACGAUCAGUAGCUGGUCUGGAGAGGACGGCCAGCCACACUGGGACUGAGA